Chrysemys picta bellii (western painted turtle) is the source of this 2118-nucleotide non-coding RNA. The record is from RefSeq and is a predicted model, not a curated record. NCBI's taxonomy places the organism in Eukaryota, Metazoa, Chordata, Testudines, Emydidae.
ACCUUUCUUCUUUCUUCUUCAGAGACCUUAAUGUAUCCAGGAUCCGUUCUCCAUGUUUUGUAGAAAUAGUAGAGAAGACCCAUCACGCUGAGGAUGAAGGGGAUCUGGAAAAUUGUGUCUGCUAAAUGUAGCAUUCAAAGUUCAGAUUCCUGCCUUUGACUACACCCUGGAACACACAUCCCUUCACAUCCCUUCUCCACCAGUAAGGAAUACUGCAUAUAAGGAAUGACAGUAAGAAGGAACAUACGCUAAGACGACAUCCACUAGUGGAGGAUCUCACAGGCCAACUGACAAUAAUUCUACUACCAAUCACCCUCAAAAGGAAAGACAUUUAUAGGAUGGAAAAAGAAAAUCCUAUCAGCAUUCUGUUACAACUCAAGAUCCUGGACUAGAUGAACUCCUGAUUUGAUCUGGUAUUUGAUCUUUUUCUAUUUCUACCCCAGGACUGACCAAUUUAAUAAUAUUUAUAUGUAAAUAUAUACUGUACAAAAUAUACAGAUAGGUACACACAUUUUAGGCGUAGUAUUGUUAUGUAUAUAGAUAUUUGCUGCACUACUGUUACACUAGUGUAAAGCUUUUAUAUAAAUGAAGAUACAUGUGUAUUAUAAACAGAAUUUUUACACCCCUCUAUUAUAAGCAUUUAUACACAGGUUCUGUGUGGGGGUGCUGAGAAGGGCACUUAAACAAAUCACACCAAGUUAAGACUGGUAUCUUCCUAGGUACAGCACUGUGCACUUUAACUCAAAGUUGUUCUCUCUUGCAUAUUACAAAUACAAUGAGGUAACUCAGUGGCUAAAACCAAAAAUGUUACUCUAACAAAUAUUGAUAUUGUGUGUUUUGAGAUGUAAUCUCUUCCAUAGCUCGUAUCAUGUUUAGUCAUGACGCAAUUGCAGGACAUUAUCUUGUGAGCCCAUAUGGUGCUGUAUUUCCUUGUGGAUAUUGUUAAUACUCUGCAUCUGUUUCUGUUUUGUAGAUCUGGGGGAGCAAAUCCAGAACAUACUAGCUGGGAGUUUAGCAAAGCAUAUGGGAAAGGUUCAAAAAACAUGUAUAAGUAUGUCCAAAGAGUUUGGCUCCACCAAUCAAAACAUUUACACCACACUCAUGAAUCUGUGGGUACUCCCAGGAAAGAAAUAUGUACACACGUAGGAGGAUGGGGGAAAACAAAAGGAAUGGGACCUACUUGCCCACCACUUCUCAAGUACUGGUCAGGGCUUUCUGUGUUCAUUUUGUUCACUAUUUCUAAUGCACGACCAGUUAAAGGUUUUAAUUUUUAAGUCCUGAAACAAAGGAUUGAACUGACAUAAAUCAUUUAAACUUACAGCCAGAAACUCAAAUUCCACAUUUACACACAGCAGUAACAACAAAUAACUUACUUACAAGUGAGACAAAUAUAUACAUGGUUCCCAGCUGGAAUAUACCCACCACAGAAAUUAAUCCUAAUAAUCAUAUUAAGGAGAUCUCAUUAGAAAUAGUACAAAAGAAAAUGCCACUUAAGGGAUGAAGUAAUUAAAAAUGUAAUGCUACUUAAUGUAGGAAUAUAUUACUGCUGGUUUAAUACAGAAAUUAUUUUCAGUUACAAAUAUCUCCCUAAAGGCCUUCUGAUCUAAUGGAAAUGUUUUACAAAACUAAAAGAUAAAGCCCUCCGUGCAACAACAAAGCAGAAUAUAGGAUAGUGAGUGCAACAACACUUGUACAUCGCUUUACACAUACUAUCAAUCCAUAGCCUGUUAUAAGAACUGAAGUGUGUUAAAGAAAAGCCAUAUACCAUACACAGAGAAUGCAGCUCAACCCCUGAAUGUAUCUGAAGGCAGUACACUUUUGAAGUUCUAUUUAAAAAAAAAAAAUGAUAAAGCAGCAGCAAAAGGAGUUCUGAAUCACUGUCCUUUUAGAAUGUGGAGAUGUCAUUUACUUUUUACUUAUCUGGGCCCCAAUCCAGAAGGCAUUUAAGCAUGUGUCUGAACACUGUGCUUGAUCAGAGCCUUGAUGAGCGAGGUAGGUGGCCACAUGAGGAACUAACCUGGAGGGAAAAUUGGGUUUAAAAAUGGCACACACUAAUUUGUAUUCAACAAAACAUUAAAAAAAAAAAAUCUACUGUUGUGCCUUCACAUUUAAACCAAC